UUAACAUCCUUGACUCAAUCUUGUUCUUGAUGCUUCUUUGGUUUUAACAUCUUUUGGGAUUUCAUUUUAAAUUCAGAAUCAGCUUUAACAUUUCUCAACAUACUAUGCAAAUUUCCAUUUUAAAUGUUAAGAAUCUUGAGAUUAUCCCAUUGACUAAAAUGUAAAAAAAAUUAAAUUACAUUUAAAUGAGUAGAUUUAAAAUAUUAGAUUAUGUAAAUAUAAAUGUUUUAGUUAGAAUAUUUUGUAGAACAAAUUCUAGGGCAUGACCUUAUUGUUUUAUUCUC
Molecule: long non-coding RNA, 284 nt
Filed under: Olea europaea (common olive)
Lineage: Eukaryota; Viridiplantae; Streptophyta; Magnoliopsida; Lamiales; Oleaceae
Description: long non-coding RNA (OEUR_LNC012422)
Source: RNAcentral